This is a long non-coding RNA of Sebastes umbrosus (honeycomb rockfish), 245 nucleotides long. RefSeq lists it as uncharacterized. Lineage: Eukaryota; Metazoa; Chordata; Actinopteri; Perciformes; Sebastidae. The record is from RefSeq and is a predicted model, not a curated record. The transcript is spliced from 2 exons.
ACCUAUUAUGCCUUUGUGCUUUUUCCCUUUCUUUUAGUGCGUUAUAUAUUUUUUUGUGCAUGUAAAAGGUCUGCAAAGUUACAAAGCCCAAAGUCCACCCCAAAGGGAAUUACUCUCCUCCACAGAAACACUGCUCUCGAACUGCCUGAAAAGCCUCGCUUGAAGCCCUGCCUUUUUUUUCCGUAACGUGGUGAUGUCACCAAGUAACACACUUUGCCUAACGGCUAGUUUGGCACACCCUCAAA